CUUCCAUCAAGGGGACAGCCAGUGAAUCCCACUCAGAAAGUCGUAAUAGUCAUCUUAAAGACUCGGCUGCAAAGAAGUUUCAACUCCUACAUGAGGACGGACUAAAACGAAGAUCUCCCGAAGGGAGUGGCAGUUCUAACUGGGAAAGAAGAAAGCUUUGCGCCUUAAAGGAAGAAAAGAUACUUGGGUUUCUGUCAAAAGUUAUCGUUUAGUCACUGAACUUGCAUAAGAUUGCAGGACUACAACCGUUCAUUGUGACUUGGAGAAAGACAGACAGACAGAAAGAAAGAAUUAUUAGACAAUCCAAGCAUCUUUACCUGGAAAAAGAUCCUACUCUUGUAUGUUUUCUGGUUCUCCAGAAAGCAGCACCUUCAAGCAACAGCCCUGAUAUACCCUUCACAACUCUUACAAACCAUGGCUACAAAUUACUACUAGUGGUAGCACCACCACCACCACCACC
Long non-coding RNA from Hemicordylus capensis (graceful crag lizard), 460 nucleotides. RefSeq lists it as uncharacterized. The transcript has 4 exons. The record is from RefSeq and is a predicted model, not a curated record. Lineage: Eukaryota; Metazoa; Chordata; Lepidosauria; Squamata; Cordylidae.